Molecule: long non-coding RNA, 1202 nt
Organism: Apus apus (common swift)
Lineage: Eukaryota; Metazoa; Chordata; Aves; Apodiformes; Apodidae
Exons: 3
Source: RefSeq, a predicted model, not a curated record
AGAGAGAGAAAAUGAACGAAGAGGUUGGUGACACGGUGACACAGCUUGCAGCUUCACUCGAUGUGGGGGAGAACAACACUGGCCCAGGUCUUCUGCAGAGAGAUUUGCUGUACACAAGGGGAUAGAUGCUCAUCAGUGGCUGCAGUUCAAACCCCUCACAGCAGAGGGAAUGACUGAUCCUACUAAAGGAAAUGGUAAAAUUUGCAAAGGUGUGGAUUCCUCCAGGGGUUUUCAGACCAGAUUGGCCCAACAGGAGGGGCAUUUGUGUAACACGUGUUAAAGAAAUUCCCUCAUGACUGAGGCAGUGCAAGAUGCUGCUGCCCCAUCAGCUCUUCCAUUCCUCAGCCCACUGCAAACGGCGUGGCUUCCCUGGCUUGCUUUUCCUGCAGAAGUGGUGAUGGCCUGCAACACAUAUCUUGGUCUUUCAAGAAGAACUUUUGGAAUUUCCAUGGAGACGCAGUAGCAGGUGGCAAGCUGCCCACAGGAGGGAGUUGGCACCAGAUGUUCAUCCAGAACCACUGUGGUCAAUUAACCGUGAAUUAAGAAGGAUUUACAUGAUAGUCUGUUAGAGCUGUUUAAGAGUUCUAAGAGUGUGCUCAGUAAUCCAGUUACAAAAAUAUGCCAAAACAUGUGCUUGAUAAAAGACUGUAACUGGUUUAAAAUAUGAUUGUGGGCUAUUGCACAAAGGAGAAACAGAAACUUAACUAUUCACAGACGUUGAAUGUGCUUGACUUUACCACACAUUACAGUGAUUUAUACAAGACAUAAAGAACAAUUGUCAAAAGUAUGGAAGAAAAAUUCAAAGCCAUAAGCAAAGCCAUUCAUUCUGAAUGGUGAAAUGUUAAUGCAGGGGAAGAGAAACAUCAGUGCUGCAAAUGGAAAGGGACCAUUCAGCAAACUAAACUCUUCACUGGAAAGAAAAAUCCCACAGGAUAAGAAUUAUCCGCUGGCUUUGAAAUAACCUCCAAAUUAACAGCUGUUUUCCUAGCAUCACAAUGUCACACGUUUUUCCAAGAAAAAAAUCUCUUAUGAUUUUUAUGUUCAUGUGUGGGUCAAAAUAAAACCCUGUGGCAGAUAGAAAAAGAUGCCUUGGGAGAAUAAAAGGUUAUAAUUCAGUGAAGGUUUCCUAAUGGCACUGCAUGCCCACCACCAUGGGAAUAGAGCGCUGAGACUGAGUUAGUGCCUGAAGAUCUUGUGCAAAA